GAAGGCCGCGUUGCUAAUACCUCGGCUACCCUAAGUCUUAGGGUUGCACGAGCUCAUGAACCGCAGGCAAUUGUUCACGUUCAUAUUGAUACUUGAAACUGAAACACAAUGUAUACAUGAGAAAAAUAAAUUUCUACAGUAUUAUCACAAAAUCCUGGUGCAACAGCCUACAGAAAUUUGUGAUAGUUAAUAGCAGUUGUUGCCAAAAGUUGAAAAUUUGUUGCCUAAGAGUAUACGCAACAAAUUGCAGUCAUUGCCACUUGUUAGACCUUAAUAACUAAAUCAAUAAAAUACAUGACUAUAUAUGGACUGACCUGGAGCUGGAGAUGCUGAAAGCUUUGGUUGCUUGAACCACAAGGAAAUCUAGCCUUUAUGUGCCAUAGACUCAAUGGGGAGUUUGUAAGCUUUGAUGCGUAUACUAUAUGUGCAGGGAUCCCUUGUAUUUAUAGUGGCAUAUAUCAUAGAGUUCCGUCCAUAAAAGAACCCACAAUUCACCUGGAAAGCCAAUAACUUGAUCCACA
Molecule: long non-coding RNA, 521 nt
Filed under: Malus domestica (apple)
Lineage: Eukaryota; Viridiplantae; Streptophyta; Magnoliopsida; Rosales; Rosaceae
Description: long non-coding RNA (MDOM_LNC004772)
Source: RNAcentral